Molecule: unclassified non-coding RNA, 344 nt
Filed under: soil metagenome
Description: partial contains 5.8S ribosomal RNA, internal transcribed spacer 2, and large subunit ribosomal RNA
Rfam family: 5.8S ribosomal RNA (bases 1-120)
Source: RNAcentral
GAUGAAGAACGCAGUGAAAUGCGAUAAGUAAUGUGAAUUGCAGAAUUCAGUGAAUCAUCGAAUCUUUGAACGCACAUUGCGCCCUUUGGUAUUCCGAAGGGCAUGCCUGUUCGAGCGUCAUUACAACCCUCAAGCUCCGCUUGGUAUUGGGCACCGUCCGCCUCGGCGGACGCGCCUCGAAGACCUCGGCGGCGGCGUCAAGCCCUCAAGCGUAGUAGAAUCUAUCUCGCUUUGGAGGCGCUGGGCGUCGCCCGCCGGACGAACCUUCUGAACCCACUUCUCAAGGUUGACCUCGGAUCAGGUAGGAAUACCCGCUGAACUUAAGCAUAUCAAUAAGCGGAGGA